RNAcentral lists this ribosomal RNA (365 nucleotides) under Pinnotheroidea sp. 1 EPT-2016. RNAcentral's name for it is "partial 12S ribosomal RNA". Lineage: Eukaryota; Metazoa; Arthropoda; Malacostraca; Decapoda. The record is from RNAcentral.
UAUUAUUCUAAAAUUAAUUUAUAACCUAGGUUAGUAAUAGAUAUUUACUUAAAAGCUAAAAAAUUUGGCGGUAAUUUAAUCUUUUCAGAGGAACUUGUUUUUUAAUCGAUAAACCGCGAAGUAUCUUGCUUAUUUUGUUUUGGAAGUUUGUAUACCAUCAUUAUCAGGUAAUUUUAAGAAAAUAAAUUAUUAAGAUUAAGAAGUUAAAUAAAUUAGAUCAUGGUGCAGCUUAUAGAUAAGUUAAAAUGAGUUACAAUAAAUUAUUUUAUACGAAUAAAUAAAAGAAUUUUUAUUUUAAAGGAGGAUUUGAUUGUAUUUUAAAUUUAAUAUGUUUAAGAGAUGUUAGCUCUAAAUUAUGUACAUAU